Pimephales promelas (fathead minnow) is the source of this 943-nucleotide long non-coding RNA. RefSeq lists it as uncharacterized. The record is from RefSeq and is a predicted model, not a curated record. NCBI's taxonomy places the organism in Eukaryota, Metazoa, Chordata, Actinopteri, Cypriniformes, Leuciscidae.
CAUGGGAAAGAGAGGUCCGUUCUGUUAAAACAGCAUUGCGGGUGGUACUCGGCAGUCAAACCGUAUCAGAGGAAGUCCUACGGACCGUUUUGACAGAAGUUGAAGGAGUGUUAAAUUCAAAGCCACUUGGUUACGCCUCUUCAAAUAUUUCAGAUCUCGACCCCAUUACUCCAAAUCUCCUCCUCAUGGGGCGGCGAGAUUCGUCUUUACCUCAGGUGAUUUAUGCCAAUACUAAGCUCCUUGGCCGCAGAUCUUGGCGCCACAGCCAGGCCCUCGUUGACCAGUUUUGGACAUCUUUUAUCCGACAUUACUUACCAGGUCAGCAGCUCCGUCAAAAAUGGAAUCGAGAAAAACCUCAUCUAAAUGACUCUGCUGUCGUGUUAGUAAUUGAUUUUCAACUCCCAAGAGCAUCAUGGCCCAUUGGCAGGGUAGUACGCCUCUUACCUAGUCAGGAUGGACGUGUCAGAGUAGCUGAGAUUGAUAUUAAUGGAAAGACGUAUGUACGUCCAGUUGCUAAGUUGAUUCCAUUACCUGAAAUAGAUGAGUAAUAGCAAAUACAUGACUGUAUUUGGGGGCGGCUGUUGUGAAUUUGAUCCUUUAAUUAUACUUUUUUUUUUUUUUUCUUUCUCCUUACAUAUUUGCACUUCAUAUCCCACAAUCCUUUUGUCAGUUUCACUACAUUACCCAUACACCCCCUGGGCAAGGUCUAUAAGUAGACCUCACUUCCUCCCUUUUUUCCUUUUGUAUUGGUGAGGUGUGGUGGUUGGAAUGGACACCCAACCAUGUCCUUUCCUUAGGAUGCGUUGAUGACUAAAGACCAUCUUGUACGUCCUGUUUAUCCUGUCCCUCCAUUAACAUCUGUUCAUUGGCAUCAUGUGUGUCAGCUCCAUGUGAAUUAAGACUUUAUCAUCCUGAACUGAAAAUAAAAGAGAGCAAAGGACUG